ACUGUUGUCAGGGUUCGUUCGAAAGCCUACGUGCGCUAGCUUCAAUUCUUUGUUGAUCUUCAAAGUAUCUUAAAAAUAAAACAAAUCAAAAUGUUCGUAUCAACAGUCUCCCGUAUUGCCCCCGUUGCCAGGACCGCUCUCCUUAACGGCUCCAAGCAAUACUUGCGACCAUUGAGCAGCUGGUCUCCAAGGUGAAGAGUCUCUAGUCGAUAGAAUAAUGUAGGUAAGGGAAGUCGGCAAAUUAGAUCCGUAACUUCGGGAUAAGGAUUGGCUCUGAAGAUUGAGAUAGUCGGGCUUGAUUGGGAAGCAAUAACAUGGUUUAUGUACUCGUUCUGGGUAAAUAGAGAUUUUCGGAUCUUGUUCCUCGGAUAGUAGUUACGUAGCCAAUUGUGGAACUUUCUUGCUAAAAUUUUUAGGGAAUUAUCGCAAGAUAUAUUCCUUUUAAAUUAUAACGACUAUCAAUUAACAAUCAAUUCAGAACUGGCACGGACUUGGGGAAUCCGACUGUCUAAUUAAAACAAAGCAUUGUGAUGGCCCUAACGGGUGUUGACACAAUGUGAUUUCUGCCCAGUGCUCUGAAUGUCAAAGUGAAGAAAUUCAAGUAAGCGCGGGUAAACGGCGGGAGUAACUAUGACUCUCUUAAGGUAGCCAAAUGCCUCGUCAUCUAAUUAGUGACGCGCAUGAAUGGAUUAACGAGAUUCCUACUGUCCCUAUCUACUAUCUAGCGAAACCACAGCCAAGGGAACGGGCUUGGAAUAAUUAGCGGGGAAAGAAGACCCUGUUGAGCUUGACUCUAAUCUGGCAGUGUAAGGAGACAUAAGAGGUGUAGCAUAAGUGGGAGAUACUGGUCUUUCGGGGCCUUUGUCACCAAUGAAAUACCACUACUCUUAUUGUUUCCUUACUUACUUGAUUAAGUGGAACGUGUAUCAUUUCUUAGCCAUUAUACGGAUAUAUUUAUAUAUCUUAUGGUAUUGGGUUAUGAUGCAAGCUUCUUGAUCAAACUACUAAGAGUUUGUUAUAUAAUUGUAAACAAAUUUUAAUGAGAUGAUGGCAUUUCGGUGCUAUUGUCAAUAUUUGAAAUUUGGUAUAACUCCCAAUACUCAGGUAUGAUCCAAUUCAAGGACAUUGCCAGGUAGGGAGUUUGACUGGGGCGGUACAUCUCUCAAAUAAUAACGGAGGUGUCCCAAGGCCAGCUCAGUGCGGACAGAAACCACACAUAGAGCAAAAGGGCAAAUGCUUUACUGCCACAAAUCAGGUCAUUCCAGACCUCCCCAGUCACUCGUGACAUUGAUUCAGCUGCCAAAUUCAUUGGUGCUGGUGCUGCAACAGUCGGUGUAGCUGGUUCCGGUGCCGGUAUCGGAACAGUAUUCGGUUCCCUCAUCAUUGGUUAUGCCAGAAACCCAUCAUUGAAACAACAGUUGUUCUCCUACGCUAUCUUGGGUUUCGCCCUUUCUGAAGCUAUGGGUCUUUUCUGUCUUAUGAUGGCUUUCUUGCUUCUCUUCGCUUUCUAAAGUGUGUAUUUAUGUCAUAGGAAGGACGUCAAAUCUUAUAAUAAUAACAACAAAAUUAAUUGAUAAACAUCUGUACUACAACAACCACAGCUCCAUUAUCUUUAUUGUUUUUAAAAAACAUCCAAGAGUAAUAAAAAGAAAAGCAACACUUUUUAUUUAAGUUUAAAACGGAAAUAAAACAAA
Molecule: ribosomal RNA, 1694 nt
Filed under: Sarcophaga peregrina
Lineage: Eukaryota; Metazoa; Arthropoda; Insecta; Diptera; Sarcophagidae
Description: eukaryotic LSU rRNA
Rfam family: Eukaryotic large subunit ribosomal RNA (bases 1-1442)
Source: RNAcentral